Molecule: non-coding RNA, 2091 nt
Organism: Hydra vulgaris (swiftwater hydra)
Lineage: Eukaryota; Metazoa; Cnidaria; Hydrozoa; Anthoathecata; Hydridae
Source: RefSeq, a predicted model, not a curated record
CACAAAAGAUUGUUUUAUUGGUUGUGCACUUAUCGUUUUUAUCAAGGAACCAAGAUUCAUUUAUGUCUUUUACAAAAAGGGCAUACAAAAAGAGAUGCAGUAGGCGUAUUCAAAAGGAAUAUUAAAAAAUACUAGAAUUUUUAUCAGUACAUAUAGAAAAAAAAUUGAAUGUUGGAACUUCUAAAAGAAAUGAUUUCUUAUCUUGCGAAAAUCUAAAAGAAUAUUUUGACCAUCAUGAGUCAUUGAUUUUGUACAAUGAAUACUCUUAUGACCAAAAGCCUAAUGAGUAUAAGCAUAACCCAACUUUAAAGGAAAGUUUUUCUGCAUUUUUUUUUAACCAAGUAAUGUUGCACUAAACAAGUGAAUUGACAAAGAAUAGCAACAAAUUUAUUGUCCCAAAAAAACUAUAAUCAUGCACUGAAAAACAACCUUUCGUCAACAAAAGAAUGGCACAAAUUUCCAUUGAUAAAAUGUAAGAUAACAGAUGAUUCAUUUUCAUGUUGUGAAGAAUACAACUUUCUACAUCAGAUGAGAUAUGCUAAAGAAAGCAUUAAAAAUAAGAAUAACAAAUCAUACCGCUCUUCAUUGCCAGAACCUUCGCCACCUAUUAUGAAUAAGCCCAAUGCUAAAAAGUUGUUAUCAGAUUCAGAGAUUGAAGAAGAUGUUUUUUCUUCACAUUUUAUUGAUGAACACAAUAAAACUAAGCAAAGUUCACAUUGUCAAAGAGUUUCAAGUUUUAAUGCGAGUAGUUUUGGUUUUUUCACCACUGAAUGUUAAUGUGGAGGAGGAGAUAUCAAGAAUUGCUCUUGAGCCAAGCCCAAAGAAAAAUACACGAAAGUUAUCACCAGGGCUGUGGAGUCCGAGUUGCGGAGUUAAGACAUUUUCAGCGUAGUCAGAGUCGCUAAACAAAAUUGCGACUCCGACUCCAAUAGUAAAACUUCUCGGUAUUGUACGUGCAUGUACAAAACAUUCAAUUAACCUUAUGUUUAUACUAAACCUUAAAGAACGUUUCAUAAAUUUGUCAAAAAAGAAAUUUUUAACUUAUCCCGUAAUAUUUUUUAAAGAAUUUAAAAAUUUUUUCUAAAAUAAUGAUUUGGAGUUGUAAUCGAAGUUGAAGUCGGAGUCGGAGAUGUGCUCAAAAAAUUUCAACAACUGGAGUCGGAGUUGGAGUUGUACUUAAAAAGUUUCAACAACUGGUGUCGGAGUCAUUACUUUUUUUUUACAACUCUACACCCCUGGUUAUCAGUAACGGUUUGACAUAAAUCUGAAUAUUAUUUGUUGUUGUUUAUUUGUCAAAAUUAAAUAAGAAUUUCUGUAAAACUUGAAUGUUUAAUUUAUUUUCAGCGGGUUUACCUAUAACUUAAGUGGAUUAUUUUUUUAUUAGAUUAUUAUUGCAAAGUAUUUUAUUUAGUCAAAAUUAUUUUUUACUAGGUUUCCAAUCUGCCUCUCUUGCCUUUGUCUGAUUCUACAGAUAAAAUUUAGCUGAUUUAAAAAGUAGGUUUUCCAAAAUAUUAUGGCAACUUCUGCAAUGGAGUAAUAAAAAAAAAAACAUGUAAUUUUGGAAUUUUAGUUUGAGUUACUCAAGUAUAAUUUGAAUAUUAAAGUUGUUAUUGCAUUGUUUUGCUUUUUGGUUAUGAGCUAAAUAUGUUAAUCAAUCUUUUUAUUCUUGUUUGUAAAGAUGCAAAAUGUUAUUCUCAAGGAGCUUGCAGAAAUAAAAGUUCUUUUAAAAAAAGUUAUAGAAAAUAAGUUUCAGGCUACUGGGGUGAAGUUGCUAGAAUCAGUGGACGAAGUGGUUACACUGGAUAAUAAACUAAAAGAUAAAACCGAGUAAACUAAUUAGCUUGAUAGUUUGAAAAAAAUUGGUGGUGGAAAACCAAGAGAACAUGUUUUUUUGAUCAUGAAAAGGUUAUUUUCUAUCAGUUACAGUCCAAAUUAAAUUGAAAAGGAAAUGGGGAAAAGAUAAGCUUAGAAAAUCUAGUAAAUAUAUGAAGUGUUUUACGAGAUAUCGGCGACGUGAAAGAAGAUAUUGACGGCAAUGCAGAAAUAUAGUUUUUUAUGUAUAUUUUUAUGAAAUAAAAUUAAGUAAUUUUA